GGGGUUGUAGCUCAGUGGUAGAGUGUAUGCUUUGCAAGGAUGAUGUAGCGGGUUCCAUCCCUGGCAUCUCCA
This 72-nucleotide transfer RNA is filed under the name Loxodonta africana (African savanna elephant). It matches the Rfam family "tRNA". Rfam says of the family: Transfer RNA (tRNA) molecules are approximately 80 nucleotides in length. The record is from Rfam by way of RNAcentral. Lineage: Eukaryota; Metazoa; Chordata; Mammalia; Proboscidea; Elephantidae.